UACGUAGGGUGCAAGCGUUUAAUCGGAAUUACUGGGCGUAAAGCGUGCGCAGGCGGUGAUGUAAGACAGGUGUGAAAUCCCCGGGCUUAACCUGGGAACUGCAUUUGUGACUGCAUCGCUGGAGUGCGGCAGAGGGGGAUGGAAUUCCGCGUGUAGCAGUGAAAUGCGUAGAUAUCGGAAGGAACACCAGUGGCGAAAGCGGCUCCUGGUCCAGCACCGACGUCAGGCACGAAAGCGUGGGGAGCAAACAGG
This 252-nucleotide ribosomal RNA is filed under the name uncultured bacterium. RNAcentral's name for it is "partial 16S ribosomal RNA". It matches the Rfam family "Bacterial small subunit ribosomal RNA", at positions 524 to 776 of the family's 1533-position model. The record is from RNAcentral.